UGGGGAAUUUUGGACAAUGGGGGCAACCCUGAUCCAGCCAUUCCGCGUGAGUGAAGAAGGCCUUCGGGUUGUAAAGCUCUUUCGCAAGGGAAGAAAACUUAUGAUCGAAUAAAUCAUGAGGUUGACGGUACCUUGAUAAGAAGCACCGGCUAACUACGUGCCAGCAGCCGCGGUAAUACGUAGGGUGCGAGCGUUAAUCGGAAUUACUGGGCGUAAAGCGUGCGCAGGCGGUUUUGUAAGUCGGAUGUGAAAUCCCCGGGCUCAACCUGGGAACUGCGUUCGAAACUGCAAGGCUAGAGUGUGUCAGAGGGGGGUAGAAUUCCACGUGUAGCAGUGAAAUGCGUAGAGAUGUGGAGGAAUACCAAUGGCGAAGGCAGCCCCCUGGGAUAACACUGACGCUCAUGCACGAAAGCGUGGGGAGCAAACA
RNAcentral lists this ribosomal RNA (427 nucleotides) under uncultured Methylophilaceae bacterium. RNAcentral describes it as "partial 16S ribosomal RNA". It matches the Rfam family "Bacterial small subunit ribosomal RNA", at positions 355 to 774 of the family's 1533-position model. Lineage: Bacteria; Pseudomonadati; Pseudomonadota; Betaproteobacteria; Nitrosomonadales; Methylophilaceae. The record is from RNAcentral.